UACGGGAGGCAGCAGUGGGGAAUAUUGCACAAUGGGCGAAAGCCUGAUGCAGCUAUGCCGCGUGUAUGAAGAAGGCCUUAGGGUUGUAAAGUACUUUCAUCGGGGAGGAAAAAACAAAACUAAUAAUUUUAUUUCUUGACGUUACCCGAAAAAGAAGCACCGGCUAACUCCGUGCCAGCAGCCGCGGUAAUACGGAGGGUGCUAGCGUUAAUCAGAAUUACUGGGCGUAAAGAGCACGUAGGUGGUUUUUUUAAAGUCAGAUGUGAAAUCCCUGGGCUUAACCUAGGAACUGCAUUUUGAAACUGAAAUACUAGAGUAUCGUAGAGGAAGGUAGAAUUCUAGGUGUAGCGGUGAAAUGCGUAGAUAUCUGGAGGAAUACCUGUGGCGAAAGCGGCCUCCUAAACGAAUACUGACACUGAGGUGCGAAAGCGUGGGGAGCAAACAGGGAUUAGAUACC
Molecule: ribosomal RNA, 457 nt
Filed under: uncultured bacterium
Lineage: Bacteria
Description: bacterial SSU rRNA
Rfam family: Bacterial small subunit ribosomal RNA
Source: RNAcentral